CACUGCAACCAAAUCAACCUGAACGUGCUCAAUCUGGUUGGACCUCGGCAGCUCAGCAGGUUGGAACCUGGUGAGUUCUUGGAUGGGUGACCACCAGGACUCGCCAGGCGUUAUAGGCG
This 119-nucleotide ribosomal RNA is filed under the name Petromyzon marinus (sea lamprey). Lineage: Eukaryota; Metazoa; Chordata; Hyperoartia; Petromyzontiformes; Petromyzontidae. The record is from RNAcentral.